GCUGAGAUGUCCGAGCGGUCUAAGGAGCUGGAUUCAAGCUUACAGGCUUCACUCGUGGAGGAGUGAUUCCCAGUAGGGCAACCUGCGGGGGUUCGAAUCCCCCUCUCAGCA
This 111-nucleotide transfer RNA is filed under the name Phakopsora pachyrhizi. Its description in RNAcentral is "tRNA-Leu". It matches the Rfam family "tRNA". Rfam says of the family: Transfer RNA (tRNA) molecules are approximately 80 nucleotides in length. The record is from RNAcentral. Lineage: Eukaryota; Fungi; Basidiomycota; Pucciniomycetes; Pucciniales; Phakopsoraceae.